This 1115-nucleotide long non-coding RNA is filed under the name Mytilus galloprovincialis (Mediterranean mussel). Lineage: Eukaryota; Metazoa; Mollusca; Bivalvia; Mytilida; Mytilidae. The record is from RNAcentral.
CCCAUUUCGUAGGAGCGGUAACAAGCAUCGCUCUACACCAAGAUCAGAAAUUUUAACUUUUCUGUUGACUUACUUUUCUCCUUCCAAUUUUAUUUCUCCUCCUUCGAGAUAUUUAUUUAACCGUGUUUUUAAAGGUAAUAACUACAGCUGUUUAUACUUGUAUACAUGUUUGCGAUGUAGCUUAUCAACUUACACGAGGAGCAAUUUCCAUCCCAUGCACUUUAAUGAUAUAUUGCCGAAUUAGAUCUCUUUCAGUUUCAUGAUGUUAAGCCACAUAUCAGUUUGGUAAUUGUCGAGUUGCAUGCUCGCCCCAAUACGACGUGUCGAAGCUAUGCUUGUAGACAAUGUGUUGUAUGUAUCCGCCAUGCAAGCUACAAGACUGUUCGAAUCGGAGCCAUUGGGAAUGCUUGCGAUAUAGCUGUCCGUACCAACUUAUUUUGUUGAACAGAGGUCUCAUUUUACAACCAUAUAGCUAAAUAUACUUAAUGGGUUUGGUCAUUGCUGAAGGUCGUACAUUUUCCGACAGUUUACACAAGUCAUUUGGUUUCUGCAUGGUGAAUAGUUAUCUAAUGGUAAUCAUACCACAUCUCCUUAUUUUUAUUCAGAGUAUGGCCGUAUGUUUCGCUGUAGGCAGUUACUAUCAGAAUCUCUCUACAUGCUGUUCCCGUCAACUCUGGUGGAUAUUUAAAGGUCUCAAUUUGCAAUCAUGACUUACUAAGCUGUAUGGUUUUUGUCAUUGCUGAAGGUCGUACUUUUCCUGGAGUUGUUCACAUUCAAGGCCUUGAUUAUUUUGUGAUUCAAUGGUUCUCAUUGACAACUACAUAUCUCCUUAUUUGUAUACCAAGUAUAACGGUAAUUUUCCUGUAAGUGGUUACCUCGUGUUUUCAAGGUAAAAACAAGACUGAUGUUCCGGUGUUAAUAUACAAAUCCCUGGACGUUAACAGUCAUCAAUCAAUCAAUCAAUCAUCCAACCAACUACUAUAUCAAUCAACCAAUCAAUCAACUACUCUAUUAAUCAAUUCACAUACAUAAUUUCUACAUUUAAUAAAUUCCUUUUCUAAUUUAAAUCAGUUGCUUCAUAAAUGAUGAGAAAAAAAAGGAAUUAAAGAUUGAAC